CCUCCGUUUUUGAAUAGUUGUCGUUUUAGAGUUUUUUUUUUGUUUUAAAUUAGUUGUCGUUUUAAAGUAAUAAUGUAAUUUAUGCCAAUAACUACCCAAAUUACCUUCAUUUUAUUGAACACAAAUUAUUUGUAAAUAAUUACUUGUCAUUUUUAUGAGGUUAAUAUAGUUAUUGUAUACAUUUUCUUAAUUUGUCCAAAUACAGUUAAAACGACAACUUUUAAAAAACAGAGGGAGUAUU
This 241-nucleotide long non-coding RNA is filed under the name Arabidopsis lyrata. RNAcentral describes it as "long non-coding RNA (ALYR_LNC000037)". The record is from RNAcentral. Lineage: Eukaryota; Viridiplantae; Streptophyta; Magnoliopsida; Brassicales; Brassicaceae.